Molecule: ribosomal RNA, 468 nt
Filed under: uncultured bacterium
Lineage: Bacteria
Description: partial 16S ribosomal RNA
Rfam family: Bacterial small subunit ribosomal RNA
Source: RNAcentral
GACGAACGCUGGCGGCGUGCUUAACACAUGCAAGUCGAACGGAAAGGCCCUGCUUUUGUGGGGUGCUCGAGUGGCGAACGGGUGAGUAACACGUGAGUAACCUGCCCUUGACUUUGGGAUAACUUCAGGAAACUGGGGCUAAUACCGGAUAUGAGCUCCUGCUGCAUGGUGGGGGUUGGAAAGUUUCGGCGGUUGGGGAUGGACUCGCGGCUUAUCAGCUUGUUGGUGGGGUAGUGGCUUACCAAGGCUUUGACGGGUAGCCGGCCUGAGAGGGUGACCGGCCACAUUGGGACUGAGAUACGGCCCAGACUCCUACGGGAGGCAGCAGGGGGGAAUAUUGCACAAUGGGCGGAAGCCUGAUGCAGCAACGCCGCGUGCGGGAUGACGGCCUUCGGGUUGUAAACCGCUUUCGCAUGUGACGAAGCGGGAGUGACGGUAAUGGGUAAAGAAGCACCGGCUAACUACGUG